GAGAAGGCUAUGUUGGCCGGGCGACGGUUGUCCCGGUUUAAGCGUGUAGGCUGGUUUUCCAGGCAAAUCCGGAAAACCAAGGCUGAGGCGUGAUGACGAGGCACUACGGUGCUGAAGCGACAAAUGCCCUGCUUCCAGGAAAAGCCUCUAAGCAUCAGGUAACAUUAAAUCGUACCCCAAACCGACACAGGUGGUCAGGUAGAGAAUACCAAGGCGCUUGAGAGAACUCGGGUGAAGGAACUAGGCAAAAUGGUGCCGUAACUUCGGGAGAAGGCACGCUGAUAUGUAGGUGAAGCGACUUGCUCGUGGAGCUGAAAUCAGUCGAAGAUACCAGCUGGCUGCAACUGUUUAUUAAAAACACAGCACUGUGCAAACACGAAAGUGGACGUAUACGGUGUGACGCCUGCCCGGUGCCGGAAGGUUAAUUGAUGGGGUUAGCGGUAACGCGAAGCUCUUGAUCGAAGCCCCGGUAAACGGCGGCCGUAACUAUAACGGUCCUAAGGUAGCGAAAUUCCUUGUCGGGUAAGUUCCGACCUGCACGAAUGGCGUAAUGAUGGCCAGGCUGUCUCCACCCGAGACUCAGUGAAAUUGAACUCGCUGUGAAGAUGCAGUGUACCCGCGGCAAGACGGAAAGACCCCGUGAACCUUUACUAUAGCUUGACACUGAACAUUGAGCCUUGAUGUGUAGGAUAGGUGGGAGGCUUUGAAGUGUGGACGCCAGUCUGCAUGGAGCCGACCUUGAAAUACCACCCUUUAAUGUUUGAUGUUCUAACGUUGGCCCGUAAUCCGGGUUGCGGACAGUGUCUGGUGGGUAGUUUGACUGGGGCGGUCUCCUCCUAAAGAGUAACGGAGGAGCACGAAGGUUGGCUAAUCCUGGUCGGACAUCAGGAGGUUAGUGCAAUGGCAUAAGCCAGCUUGACUGCGAGCGUGACGGCGCGAGCAGGUGCGAAAGCAGGUCAUAGUGAUCCGGUGGUUCUGAAUGGAAGGGCCAUCGCUCAACGGAUAAAAGGUACUCCGGGGAUAACAGGCUGAUACCGCCCAAGAGUUCAUAUCGACGGCGGUGUUUGGCACCUCGAUGUCGGCUCAUCACAUCCUGGGGCUGAAGUAGGUCCCAAGGGUAUGGCUGUUCGCCAUUUAAAGUGGUACGCGAGCUGGGUUUAGAACGUCGUGAGACAGUUCGGUCCCUAUCUGCCGUGGGCGCUGGAGAACUGAGGGGGGCUGCUCCUAGUACGAGAGGACCGGAGUGGACGCAUCACUGGUGUUCGGGUUGUCAUGCCAAUGGCACUGCCCGGUAGCUAAAUGCGGAAGAGAUAAGUGCUGAAAGCAUCUAAGCACGAAACUUGCCCCGAGAUGAGUUCUCCCUGACUCCUUGAGGGUCCUGAAGGAACGUUGAAGACGACGACGUUGAUAGGCCGGGUGUGUAAGCGCAGCGAUGCGUUGAGCUAACCGGUACUAAUGAACCGUGAGGCUUAACCUUACAACGCCGAAG
This 1489-nucleotide ribosomal RNA is filed under the name Escherichia coli. RNAcentral describes it as "partial 23S ribosomal RNA". It matches the Rfam family "Bacterial large subunit ribosomal RNA", at positions 1475 to 2925 of the family's 2925-position model. Lineage: Bacteria; Pseudomonadati; Pseudomonadota; Gammaproteobacteria; Enterobacterales; Enterobacteriaceae. The record is from RNAcentral.